This 699-nucleotide ribosomal RNA is filed under the name Pseudomonas sp. Its description in RNAcentral is "bacterial SSU rRNA". It matches the Rfam family "Bacterial small subunit ribosomal RNA", at positions 43 to 733 of the family's 1533-position model. The record is from RNAcentral. Lineage: Bacteria; Pseudomonadati; Pseudomonadota; Gammaproteobacteria; Pseudomonadales; Pseudomonadaceae.
CAGGCCUAACACAUGCAAGUCGAGCGGUAGAGAGAAGCUUGCUUCUCUUGAGAGCGGCGGACGGGUGAGUAAUGCCUAGGAAUCUGCCUGGUAGUGGGGGAUAACGUUCGGAAACGGACGCUAAUACCGCAUACGUCCUACGGGAGAAAGCAGGGGACCUUCGGGCCUUGCGCUAUCAGAUGAGCCUAGGUCGGAUUAGCUAGUUGGUGAGGUAAUGGCUCACCAAGGCGACGAUCCGUAACUGGUCUGAGAGGAUGAUCAGUCACACUGGAACUGAGACACGGUCCAGACUCCUACGGGAGGCAGCAGUGGGGAAUAUUGGACAAUGGGCGAAAGCCUGAUCCAGCCAUGCCGCGUGUGUGAAGAAGGUCUUCGGAUUGUAAAGCACUUUAAGUUGGGAGGAAGGGCAGUUACCUAAUACGUGAUUGUUUUGACGUUACCGACAGAAUAAGCACCGGCUAACUCUGUGCCAGCAGCCGCGGUAAUACAGAGGGUGCAAGCGUUAAUCGGAAUUACUGGGCGUAAAGCGCGCGUAGGUGGUUAGUUAAGUUGGAUGUGAAAUCCCCGGGCUCAACCUGGGAACUGCAUUCAAAACUGACUGACUAGAGUAUGGUAGAGGGUGGUGGAAUUUCCCUGUGUAGCGGUGAAAUGCGUAGAUAUAGGAAGGAACCACCCAGUGGCGAAGGCGACCCUCCUGGA